AGCAGCACUGGUGUAACGGUAGCCUGCUAGUUUGCCAUACUGGAGGAAGGGGUUCGAUUCCCCUGUGCUGCUUC
This 74-nucleotide transfer RNA is filed under the name Caulerpa cliftonii. RNAcentral describes it as "tRNA-Gly". It matches the Rfam family "tRNA". Rfam says of the family: Transfer RNA (tRNA) molecules are approximately 80 nucleotides in length. Lineage: Eukaryota; Viridiplantae; Chlorophyta; Ulvophyceae; Bryopsidales; Caulerpaceae. The record is from RNAcentral.